Bombus pascuorum is the source of this 418-nucleotide long non-coding RNA. RefSeq lists it as uncharacterized. The record is from RefSeq and is a predicted model, not a curated record. The transcript has 3 exons. Lineage: Eukaryota; Metazoa; Arthropoda; Insecta; Hymenoptera; Apidae.
AACACGAAUGCCAGGCUUCUUUAGCAUCUGUGAUAUCUUUCGAAUCCAUUGACGACCGGGUAGUACGAAUAGGAGUAGACCACUCUGCUAUUCGUGACAGUAAUCGAAUCUUUGCCUCGUGUAUGUUCUUAGAUGUAUGAGGAAUUAAACAGGACACAGAAGACGUGGAGAAGUCCGGAUAAGUCGCGAAAGAAAAUUAGAAAAAUCACGACGCCUACGAUCUAGGGCUGCGAGAGCCAAUAUCGAACGACUGCGAAAUCACAGACUCCGGUGUCUCGUCAGCUGCUGCAUGAUCGGAGAACCCGAUACGAACCAUCUCAGCAACGUCAGACGUUGCCUCGCUGCAGUCUCAUACGUUGCGCAAUCUCGCUGACGGAUCUUCUCCUCUGCGAACUGCUUCUUCUUCGAUACAAGCCAU